GACGAACGCUGGCGGCGUGCUUAACACAUGCAAGUCGAACGGAAAGGCCCUGCUUUUGUGGGGUGCUCGAGUGGCGAACGGGUGAGUAACCCGUGAGUAACCUGACCUUGACUUUGGGAUAACUUCAGGAAACUGGGGCUAAUACCGGAUAGGAGCUCCUGCUGCAUGGUGGGGGUUGGAAAGUUUCGGCGGUUGGGGAUGGACUCGCGGCUUAUCAGCUUGUUGGUGGGGUAGUGGCUUACCAAGGCUUUGACGGGUAGCCGGCCUGAGAGGGUGACCGGCCACAUUGGGACGGAGGUACGGCCCAGACGCCUACGGGAGGCAGCAGUGGGGAGUAUUGCACAAUGAGCGGAAGCCUGAUGCAGCAACGCCGCGUGCGGGAUGACGGCCUUCGGGUUGUAAACCGCUUUCGCCUGUGACGAAGCGUGAGUGACGGUAAUGGGUAAAGAAGCACCGGCUAACUACGUG
Molecule: ribosomal RNA, 468 nt
Filed under: uncultured bacterium
Lineage: Bacteria
Description: partial 16S ribosomal RNA
Rfam family: Bacterial small subunit ribosomal RNA
Source: RNAcentral